AAGUCGUAACAAGGUAGCCGUGUCAGCAGCCGCGGUAAUACGUAGGGUGCAAGCGUUAAUCGGAAUUACUGGGCGUAAAGCGUGUGUAGGCGGUUCGGAAAGAAAGAUGUGAAAUCCCAGGGCUUAACCUUGGAACUGCAUUUUUAACUGCCGAGCUAGAGUAUGUCAGAGGGGGGUAGAAUUCCACGUGUAGCAGUGAAAUGCGUAGAUAUGUGGAGGAAUACCGAUGGCGAAGGCAGCCCCCUGGGAUAAUACUGACGCUCAGACACGAAAGCGUGGGGAGCAAACAGGAUUAGAUACCCUGGUAGUCCACGCCCUAAACGAUGUCAACUAGCUGUUGGGGCCGUUAGGCCUUAGUAGCGCAGCUAACGCGUGAAGUUGACCGCCUGGGGAGUACGGUCGCAAGAUUAAAACUCAAAGGAAUUGACGGGGACCCGCACAAGCGGUGGAUGAUGUGGAUUAAUUCGAUGCAACGCGAAAAACCUUACCUACCCUUGACAUGUCUGGAAUGCCGAAGAGAUUUGGCAGUGCUCGCAAGAGAACCGGAACACAGGUGCUGCAUGGCUGUCGUCAGCUCGUGUCGUGAGAUGUUGGGUUAAGUCCCGCAACGAGCGCAACCCUUGUCAUUAGUUGCUACGCAAGAGCACUCUAAUGAGACUGCCGGUGACAAACCGGAGGAAGGUGGGGAUGACGUCAAGUCCUCAUGGCCCUUAUGGGUAGGGCUUCACACGUCAUACAAUGGUCGGGACAGAGGGUCGCCAACCCGCGAGGGGGAGCCAAUCUCAGAAACCCGAUCGUAGUCCGGAUCGCAGUCUGCAACUCGACUGCRUGAAGUCGGAAUCGCUAGUAAUCGCGGAUCAGAAUGUCGCGGUGAAUACGUUCCCGGGUCUKGUACACACCGSCCGUCACACCAUGGGAGUGSRUUUCACCAGAGUUAGGUAGCYUAACCGUARGGAGGGCGCUUACUC
This 968-nucleotide ribosomal RNA is filed under the name Alcaligenes faecalis. RNAcentral's name for it is "bacterial SSU rRNA". The record is from RNAcentral. Lineage: Bacteria; Pseudomonadati; Pseudomonadota; Betaproteobacteria; Burkholderiales; Alcaligenaceae.